GAUGAACGCUGGCGGCGUGCCUAAUACAUGCAAGUCGAGCGAACAGACGAGGAGCUUGCUCCUCUGACGUUAGCGGCGGACGGGUGAGUAACACGUGGAUAACCUACCUAUAAGACUGGGAUAACUUCGGGAAACCGGAGCUAAUACCGGAUAAUAUAUUGAACCGCAUGGUUCAAUAGUGAAAGACGGUUUUGCUGUCACUUAUAGAUGGAUCCGCGCCGCAUUAGCUAGUUGGUAAGGUAACGGCUUACCAAGGCAACGAUGCGUAGCCGACCUGAGAGGGUGAUCGGCCACACUGGAACUGAGAAACGGUCCAGACUCCUACGGGAGGCAGCAGUAGGGAAUCUUCCGCAAUGGGCGAAAGCCUGACGGAGCAACGCCGCGUGAGUGAUGAUGGUCUUCGGAUCGUAAAACUCUGUUAUUAGGGAAGAACAAAUGUGUAAGUAACUAUGCACGUCUUGACGGUACCUAAUCAGAAAGCCACGGCUAACUACGUG
This 497-nucleotide ribosomal RNA is filed under the name uncultured bacterium. RNAcentral's name for it is "partial 16S ribosomal RNA". It matches the Rfam family "Bacterial small subunit ribosomal RNA", at positions 28 to 507 of the family's 1533-position model. The record is from RNAcentral.